Microcebus murinus (gray mouse lemur) is the source of this 1077-nucleotide non-coding RNA. Lineage: Eukaryota; Metazoa; Chordata; Mammalia; Primates; Cheirogaleidae. The record is from RefSeq and is a predicted model, not a curated record.
AUGGAUGAGAAAUUCAGCAUUGGCCGGGCGUGGUGGCUUAUGCCUCUCUAUGGGAGGUUAUGGGUGAACUGGCUCUGUAGCCGUGGCAGCAGCCGAGAUGGGCUGGUCGGGGACUGGCUGCCGCUGACCCAAGUGAAGCUAACUGCUGGCAUCAGCCAGGGCCGCAGUGUGUCACUGCUACCAGGCUGGGCAGCUGUGGCCAAGGACAUCCUGGGUGAAGCAGGGCUGCACUUUGAUAAGCUGAACAAGCUGCGGGUGUUGGAUCCAGAGGUUACCCAGCAGACCAUAGAGCUCAAGGAAGAGUGCAAGGACUUUGUGGACAAAAUUGGCCAGUUUCAGAAAAUAGUUAGUGGUUUAAUUGAGCUUGUUGACCAACUUGCAAAAGCAGCAGAAAAUGAGAAGAUGAAGGCCAUCGGUGCUCGGAACCUGCUCAAAUCUAUAGCAAAGCAGAGAGAAGCCCAACAGCAGCAACUUCAAGCACUAAUAGCAGAAAAGAAAAUGCAGCUAGAAAGUAUUGGGUUGAAUAUGAAGCUUUGUGUAAAGUAGAAGCAAAACAAAAUGAAUUUAUUGACCAAUUUAUUUUUCAGAAAUGAACUGAAAAUUGCACUUUUAUAGCAGGAAGGCAAACCAAAAACCCCCAUACCAUUCCAGCAGCUUGACUAAUGAUCUAAGUGUGUCACAGUGUGUGCGGAGCACAGCCCUCUGAAGGCAGCACUUAGAGGCUGGGGGGCUCAUUUUGAGCAUCAGUGCACAGCGGCCACUGGUGGCCACGUAGUAGGGUCUCACCUCUUGCAUUCUUAGUUUGAACUAAGCAGACUGUAAGCUUUGAUCCUUUUUUUGUAAAUUUACAAAGCUCUGGAAAGAAAAGCAAUAAAUUGUUUUCAAAUGGCAAAAAAAUAAAAAAAAAUUGUGUGGACAUAGUUUUCAAAUCAAUUAAGUAAAUACUGAGGAGCACAAUUUGUGGAUUAUAUCUAAGACUAUGUUACUUAAUAAGUCACUUUGUAGGAAUUGACAAACUAUCUUUCAAAGUAGCCUUUUUUUAUAUAUUUUUAGUUGGCCAAUUAAUUUCUUUCUUUU